UUUAAAUGUUAAUUUUACUUACCUGGGUAUUAAUAGAUAAGGUCUUUAAACCCAAAGAAUUUGGCGGUAUCUCACUCCAUUCAGAGGAACCUAUCCCGUAAUUGAUAGUACACGAUUAACUUUACUUAAUUUAUUGGUUUGUAUAUCUCCGUUAUCAGAAAAUCUUUUUGGAGUUAUAAUUUUCUUGAUCUAUAAUUAAAGAUUAUUUCAGGUCAAGGUGCAGCUUAUAAUUAAGUGGAGAUGGGUUACAAUAAAUUUUUGUUUAUUAUGGAAUUAAUAAUGAAAUAUUUAAUGAAGGUGGAUUUGAUAGUAAUUUGAUUUAUUUAAUUUAAUUGAUAUUGGCUCUGAGGUGUGU
This 355-nucleotide ribosomal RNA is filed under the name Ceracris pui. Its description in RNAcentral is "partial 12S ribosomal RNA". Lineage: Eukaryota; Metazoa; Arthropoda; Insecta; Orthoptera; Acrididae. The record is from RNAcentral.